This 253-nucleotide ribosomal RNA is filed under the name uncultured bacterium. RNAcentral's name for it is "partial 16S ribosomal RNA". It matches the Rfam family "Bacterial small subunit ribosomal RNA", at positions 524 to 776 of the family's 1533-position model. The record is from RNAcentral.
UACGUAGGGUGCAAGCGUUGUCCGGAAUUAUUGGGCGUAAAGAGCUCGUAGGCGGUCUGUCGCGUCGGCUGUGAAAACCCGGGGCUCAACCCCGGGCCUGCAGUCGAUACGGGCAGACUAGAGUGCGGUAGGGGAGACUGGAAUUCCUGGUGUAGCGGUGAAAUGCGCAGAUAUCAGGAGGAACACCGGUGGCGAAGGCGGGUCUCUGGGCAUUACCUGACGCUGAGGAGCGAAAGUGUGGGGAGCGAACAGG